RNAcentral lists this ribosomal RNA (662 nucleotides) under Lactarius sp. 1 RB-2011. RNAcentral describes it as "eukaryotic LSU rRNA". The stretch from base 300 to 453 matches the Rfam family "5.8S ribosomal RNA". Lineage: Eukaryota; Fungi; Basidiomycota; Agaricomycetes; Russulales; Russulaceae. The record is from RNAcentral.
CUUGGUCAUUUAGAGGAAGUAAAAGUCGUAACAAGGUUUCCGUAGGUGAACCUGCGGAAGGGUCAUUAUCGUACAAAAUGUGUAGAGGCAUGCAAAGGGCUGUCGCUGACUUUUGAUGCAAAAGUUGUGCACGCCGGAGCAUGUCCUCUCACAUUAAAUCCAUCUCACCCUUUUGUGCACCACCGCGUGGGCACCCUUUGGGAUCGAACCGAUCUUGGAGGGGGCCUGCGUUUUCACACAAACCCCCCCUUUUAAAAAGUGUAGAAUGACCCCACUUUGCGGUGACACGCAAUCAAUACAACUUUCAACAACGGAUCUCUUGGCUCUCGCAUCGAUGAAGAACGCAGCGAAAUGCGAUAAGUAAUGUGAAUUGCAGAAUUCAGUGAAUCAUCGAAUCUUUGAACGCACAUUGCGCCCCUUGGUAUUCCGGGGGGCAUGCCUGUUCGAGCGUCAUUACAACCCUCAAGCUCUGCUUGGUGUUGGGCGUCACCAGCCUUGGUGUGCCCUAAAAUCAGUGGCGGCGCCGUCUGGCUCUAAGCGUAGUACAUACUCUCGCUAUGGACGCCUGGCGGAUGCUUGCCAGCAAACCCCUAAUUUAUCAAGGUUGACCUCGGAUCAGGUAGGGAUACCCGCUGAACUUAAGCAUAUCAAUAAGCGGAGGA